AACGUAGGACGCAAGCGUUAUCCGGAGUUACUGGGCGUAAAGCGCGGGCAGGCGGUCUUGCCAGUCUGAUGUGAAAUCUCCCUGCUCAACGGGGAGCAGCCAUUGGAAACUACAAGACUGGAGUCUGACAGAGGUAGGCGGAAUUCCGGGUGGAGUGGUGAAAUGCGUAGAGAUCCGGAGGAACACCAGAGGCGAAGGCGGCCUACUGGGUCAGUACUGACGCUGAGCCGCGAAAGCGUGGGGAGCAAACAGG
This 253-nucleotide ribosomal RNA is filed under the name uncultured bacterium. RNAcentral's name for it is "partial 16S ribosomal RNA". It matches the Rfam family "Bacterial small subunit ribosomal RNA", at positions 524 to 776 of the family's 1533-position model. The record is from RNAcentral.